Molecule: ribosomal RNA, 252 nt
Filed under: uncultured bacterium
Lineage: Bacteria
Description: partial 16S ribosomal RNA
Rfam family: Bacterial small subunit ribosomal RNA
Source: RNAcentral
CGUAGGUGGCAAGCGUUGUCCGGAAUUAUUGGGCGUAAAGCGCGCGCAGGCGGUUUCUUAAGUUGGGUGUGAAAGCCCUCGGCUCAACCGAGGAGGGUCACUCAAACUGGGAGACUGGAGUGCAGAAGAGGAGAGUGGAAUUCCAUGUGUAGCGGUGAAAUGCGUAGAUAUAUGGAGGAACACCAGUGGCGAAGGCGGCUCUCUGGUCUGUAACUGACGCUGAGGCGCGAAAGCGUGGGAGCAAACAGGAUU